GAUGAAGAACGUAGCGAAAUGCGAUAAGUAAUGUGAAUUGCAGAAUUCAGUGAAUCAUCGAAUCUUUGAACGCACAUUGCGCCCCUUGGUAUUCCGAGGGGCAUGCCUGUUCGAGCGUCAUUAUAACCCCUCAAGCUCAGCUUGGUGUUGGGGCCUGCUGCACUGGCAGCCCUUAAAAUCAGUGGCGGCGCCAUCUGGCUCUAAGCGUAGUAAUUCUUCUCGCUAUGGAGUCCUGGUGGAUGCUUGCCAUCAACCCCCAAUUUUUCUAUGGUUGACCUCGGAUCAGGUAGGGAUACCCGCUGAACUUAAGCAUAUCAAUAAGCUGAGGA
RNAcentral lists this unclassified non-coding RNA (329 nucleotides) under soil metagenome. RNAcentral's name for it is "partial contains 5.8S ribosomal RNA, internal transcribed spacer 2, and large subunit ribosomal RNA". The stretch from base 1 to 120 matches the Rfam family "5.8S ribosomal RNA", at positions 35 to 154 of the family's 154-position model. The record is from RNAcentral.